GAUGAACGCUGGCGGCGUGCCUAAUACAUGCAAGUCGAGCGGACCAAAGAGAGCUUGCUCUCUGAGGUUAGCGGCGGACGGGUGAGUAACACGUGGGUAACCUGCCUGUAAGACGGGGAUAACUUCGGGAAACCGAAGCUAAUACCGGAUGAUAAAGAGAAACGCCCGUUUCUUUUUUGAAAGUCGGCCUUGUGCUGACGCUUACAGAUGGGCCCGCGGCGCAUUAGCUAGUUGGUGAGGUAACGGCUCACCAAGGCGACGAUGCGUAGCCGACCUGAGAGGGUGAGCGGCCACACUGGGACUGAGACACGGCCCAGACUCCUACGGGAGGCAGCAGUAGGGAGUCUUCGGCAAUGGACGAAAGUCUGACCGAGCAACGCCGCGUGAGCGAUGAGGGCCUUCGGGUCGUAAAGCUCUGUUGUCAGAGAAGAACAAGUACCGGAGUAACUGCCGGUACCUUGACGGUACCUGACCAGAAAGCCACGGCUAACUACGUGCCAGCCGCCGCGGUAA
Molecule: ribosomal RNA, 513 nt
Filed under: uncultured bacterium
Lineage: Bacteria
Description: partial 16S ribosomal RNA
Rfam family: Bacterial small subunit ribosomal RNA
Source: RNAcentral